Molecule: long non-coding RNA, 1553 nt
Organism: Ictalurus punctatus (channel catfish)
Lineage: Eukaryota; Metazoa; Chordata; Actinopteri; Siluriformes; Ictaluridae
Exons: 3
Source: RefSeq, a predicted model, not a curated record
AAGACUGUAGAGAGAGAGAGAGAGAGAGAGAGAGAGAGAGAGAGAGAGAGAGAGAGAGAGAGAGAGAGAGAGAGAGAGAGAGAGAGAGAGAGAGAGAGAGAGAGAGAGAGAGAGAGAGAGAGAGAGAGAGAGAGAGAGAGAGAGAGAGAGAGAUUGUGAUUGGUCAGAAGGUGUUGAUUAAUUUUCUAUAAAAGCAGUCCUGACAGUAGCGCAGCUGUACAUCACAGGUUUAUAUUAACACGCUCGUUUUCUGUAAAGAGAUGCUUCUGUAACGUUUAUGGAAGGAGUCUCCAGUGUCAGCGCUUUGUAACAGUCCGAGGUGCACAUGCAUGUGUCACAUCAUGUCAUGAUCAGAGGCAGAAACACAGCUCACACAUGUGCACUCUGUAGGGGUUAACAAGCAGACGAGUGAUGUUGGAACGCUGACCGCUGAGGGACUGAUGGGUCUGAAACUUUGACGUGGAGUGUAAAAGGUCAAAAACAUGUUUGAGCCAAAGAUGUUGCGGAAAGGCAAGGAGUUGAAAACGACACACACUCAGGGAGGAGAAACCACAUGGUGAUGGCAGCACUGGAGUGUCCUCGUUCACCCGGAUUCAGCAGCGCUGUUUCUGAACAGAUAUUUUUAUCAUAAUUUCGUCCUUCUACAUGUAUAAACACACACACACACACACACACACACACACACACACACACACACACACACAGGUCAGCUGAUAUAAAUGGUGCGGUGGCUGACGUUCCUGUGGGCUGAACAGAAAUCAGACAACAUUUCCUCCUGAAUUCCACAGAAAGUUCACGGGGAUGUGGAGGUUACUGCUAUUUGUCAAAACAUGCCUUUGGUACACCGCUAAGUGCUCGAGCUCAAAUCACUGAGAAAAAAAACUCUGUGGACUUUUUCUAACGCUCAGGACAUCAUGUGAAUACAUUUCUUUUUUGAAAAAAGAGGCAUCAAAUAAAAGUCAUUAAUAAAGUGUUUAUUAAAAUCUUCCUGGUUCCUUGAGAUGUUCGAAUCCUUCACUAGCAGCUGUUUUUUUUUUUUUUACUGUGUAUUCAUUCAGAGUUGAUAAUAAACACACACACACACUUUAAACAUGACUGAGUAUUGAAGAAAAUGAAAAGUGCUGAUUAAAAGGUUCCUGGUGUUUUAUGUUUAAUGGUACAGAGGUCAGGGUUUGGGUCAGAAAUCCACAGAAAUGUGCGUUAUCGUAACUCUCACGCUGGAAAUAACUCGUGUGUUUCCGUGAAUAACAGGUUCAAGGCCGUGUGCUGCGUCUGCUGGAUAAUUCAUUAAAAUGAUUUGUGAUGUUCAGGGAGGACACGCUUCAUCGUCUGCGGAUAACGCAGAUAAAAGCAUGAACACAAACAGAGAGAUUAUUCAGCACAGAUAUUACGGCAUGUUAUCGAGCGUGUUAGCGUUCGCAUCGUGUCUGAAGGGCUCAUGCACUUCUUACGCCAUUACUAACAUUCCUGCCCUGAUGAGAACAUAAGCCGUGUUCACGCCGUGCCGUAAUUACCGUAAUUACGAGAUUCCGACUUGUAUAAAGCGUCCACAU